GUACACGCUGUGACUAGCAUAUCAAUAAGCGGAGGAAAAGAAACUAACAAGGAUUCCCUCAGUAACGGCGAGUGAAGCGGGAAGAGCUCAAAUUUGAAAUCUUGAAAGGUCACCUUUCACGAAUUGUAGUUUAAAGAAGUGUUUUCUGUUACGAUCGUAAUAUAAGUUCUUUGGAAUAGGACAUCACAGAGGGUGAGAAUCCCGUCUAUGACUGCGAUUUGUAGCUUUGUGAUACACUUUCAAAGAGUCGGGUUGUUUGGGAAUGCAGCCCAAAACGGGAGGUAAAUUUCUUCUAAGGCUAAAUAUUGGCGAGAGACCGAUAGCGAACAAGUACCGUGAGGGAAAGAUGAAAAGAACUUUGAAAAGAGAGUUAAAUAGUACGUGAAAUUGUCAAAAGGGAAGCGUUUAACACCAGUGUUGUUUUCUGAAAAUCAACCUCUGUUAGCUUUAUGCAUGUUUGUUUAGACCUAAUCAGCUAUCUUUCAUGUUCUAUUGUUUGCAGUGGUGCACUUUUCAGUUUACAGGUCAACAUCAGUUUUUUUUACCGUAAAAAAGUUAAAGAAAGGUAGCUCAUGGCUCCGGUCGUGAGUGUUAUAGUCUUUUUCCUAUGCGGUAGGAGAGACUGAGGUCUGCAGUGUAGGCUAUUUGGCUAGAUACUCAGGUGCUAUGUGAUACCAUUUCAUAAACAACUUGUUGAUUAUGUUUUGUCUAUUGCAUACUCGCUUGUACUAUCAUACCUACGCUUAGGAUGUUGAGUAGCGACAUACGCAC
Molecule: ribosomal RNA, 771 nt
Filed under: uncultured Neocallimastigales
Lineage: Eukaryota; Fungi; Neocallimastigomycota; Neocallimastigomycetes; Neocallimastigales
Description: partial large subunit ribosomal RNA
Rfam family: Eukaryotic large subunit ribosomal RNA (bases 4-661)
Source: RNAcentral